Molecule: non-coding RNA, 104 nt
Filed under: Sulfurihydrogenibium azorense Az-Fu1
Lineage: Bacteria; Pseudomonadati; Aquificota; Aquificia; Aquificales; Hydrogenothermaceae
Also listed under: 1 other name
Description: TPP riboswitch aptamer (THI element)
Rfam family: TPP riboswitch aptamer (THI element)
About the family: Vitamin B(1) in its active form thiamin pyrophosphate (TPP) is an essential coenzyme that is synthesised by coupling of pyrimidine and thiazole moieties in bacteria. The previously detected thiamin-regulatory element, thi box was extended, resulting in a new, highly conserved RNA secondary structure, the THI element, which is widely distributed in eubacteria and also occurs in some archaea.
Source: Rfam by way of RNAcentral
AAGCACCGCGGGGGGUGGUUAUCCGUUUUUAUGGAUAGCCUGAGAGUAUACCCCUUGAACCUGAUGCAGGUAAUCCUGCCGUAGGGAAGCGGGCGUUGGAAAAA